Molecule: ribosomal RNA, 253 nt
Filed under: uncultured bacterium
Lineage: Bacteria
Description: partial 16S ribosomal RNA
Rfam family: Bacterial small subunit ribosomal RNA
Source: RNAcentral
UACGGAGGGUGCAAGCGUUGUCCGGAAUCACUGGGCGUAAAGGGCGCGUAGGCGGCUCAUGAAGGCUGUGGUGAAAGUCCAGGGCUCAACCCUGGAAUGCCAGUGGAAACUGUCGAGCUAGAGUCCGGAAGAGGCGAGUGGAAUUCCUGGUGUAGCGGUGAAAUGCGCAGAUAUCGGGAAGAACACCCGUGGCGAAGGCGGCUCUCUGGGACGGUACUGACGCUGAGACGCGAAAGCGUGGGGAGCGAACAGG